Molecule: long non-coding RNA, 279 nt
Filed under: Homo sapiens (human)
Lineage: Eukaryota; Metazoa; Chordata; Mammalia; Primates; Hominidae
Description: HSALNT0406800
Source: RNAcentral
AUUCAGGAGAACCCAGGCGUUGGGGAGCCCCAUGACGCCGGUGUUCCCUCCCGCGUGGAUGGGCAGGGGCUGAACGUGAGUCUCCAUGGCUCUUCCCGGGCCAAGCCCAUCUCCAGGACAUACCUUUCUCCUGUCGCUUGUUAGACGCUGUGCACUGAAGACCUAGCCUUACCCAAAGGGAAGUCUUGCCUUGGGUCUUGGCUGGAGGGUGGUGAUACCUCAGGUCCUGGAAUGGCCCCUGGUAGUAUCUUUGCUGGCCUGGGGGCUUUGGAUGGUUCA